This 253-nucleotide ribosomal RNA is filed under the name uncultured bacterium. RNAcentral's name for it is "partial 16S ribosomal RNA". It matches the Rfam family "Bacterial small subunit ribosomal RNA", at positions 524 to 776 of the family's 1533-position model. The record is from RNAcentral.
UACAUAUGGGGCAAGCGUUGUUCGGAAUUACUGGGCAUAAAGGGUGCGUAGGUGGUCUAUUAAGUCAGGGGUGAAAUCCCGCGGCCCAACCGUGGAACGGCCUUUGAUACUGAUGGACUUGAGUGCGUGAGGGGUAGGGGGAACGAGCAGUGUAGCGGUGAAAUGCGUAGAUAUUGCUCGGAAGGCCAGAGGCGAAGGGGCCCUACUGGUACGUAACUGACACUGAGGCACGAAAGCGUGGGGAGCAAACAGG